UACGUAGGGUGCGAGCGUUAAUCGGAAUUACUGGGCGUAAAGCGUGCGCAGGCGGUUAUAUAAGUCAGACGUGAAAUCCCCGGGCUCAACCUGGGAACUGCGUUUGAGACUGUAUGACUAGAGGAUGGCAGAGGGGGGUAGAAUUCCACGUGUAGCAGUGAAAUGCGUAGAGAUGUGGAGGAAUACCGAUGGCGAAGGCAGCCCCCUGGGCUAUUACUGACGCUCAUGCACGAAAGCGUGGGGAGCAAACAGG
RNAcentral lists this ribosomal RNA (253 nucleotides) under uncultured bacterium. RNAcentral's name for it is "partial 16S ribosomal RNA". It matches the Rfam family "Bacterial small subunit ribosomal RNA", at positions 524 to 776 of the family's 1533-position model. The record is from RNAcentral.